This 429-nucleotide ribosomal RNA is filed under the name Chloroflexota bacterium. RNAcentral describes it as "Chloroflexi bacterium partial 16S ribosomal RNA". It matches the Rfam family "Bacterial small subunit ribosomal RNA", at positions 355 to 776 of the family's 1533-position model. The record is from RNAcentral. Lineage: Bacteria; Bacillati; Chloroflexota.
UGGGGAAUAUUGCACAAUGGGCGCAAGCCUGAUGCAGCCAUGCCGCGUGUGUGAAGAAGGCCUUCGGGUUGUAAAGCACUUUCAGCGGGGAGGAAGGCGAUAAGGUUAAUAACCUUGUCGAUUGACGUUACCCGCAGAAGAAGCACCGGCUAACUCCGUGCCAGCAGCCGCGGUAAUACGGAGGGUGCAAGCGUUAAUCGGAAUUACUGGGCGUAAAGCGCACGCAGGCGGUCUGUCAAGUCGGAUGUGAAAUCCCCGGGCUUAACCUGGGAACUGCAUUGGAAACUGGCAGGCUAGAGUCUUGUAGAGGGGGGUAGAAUUCCAGGUGUAGCGGUGAAAUGCGUAGAGAUCUGGAGGAAUACCGGUGGCGAAGGCGGCCCCCUGGACAAAGACUGACGCUCAGGUGCGAAAGCGUGGGGAGCAAACAGG